UUUGGUCGUCAUCUCUAAAAUAUGUUUACCUUUUGUUUUGUUGAACACCAGACAUCUCAUCUCUUUCCCACAGUUUUUUUCCACUUAGUUCCACUACUGUUGUGGAUUUUAUAGUCAAUGUUUAAAGCCAACAGAGUCUGAAGCGAUGGAGGAAAUUUACGUCAAUAUGGAACCUGUAGGACAAACUGCAUCUAAUCACACAGGUUGGAGCAGCUCCAAAGAGAGGCUCUGCCUCCGUGCGGCUGUCUGUUUGGGAAUCCUGAAUGUCUUACUUUUGGCUGAACUCAUCGCCCUCAGCGUUCACACUCAUGACAUGACAGCAGAUUUUUCUGACAUCAGCAACAUUCUGACCGAGCAGAACAGCAGCAGCAAGUUUCCCUCCAUGAUCGCUAACUUCACUGAAACGGCUCCACGAGCUGAAGACACUUAAAGGGAAAUUGUGUCCUACAGAACGAACAAACAUCAGUUGUUCCUGUUCAUCCAGGGGCCACAGAAGAAGAGAAGAGGAGAUCCACUAGUGAUGGAUGAUUAGGAUCUGUGUUCACUGUGAUAUUAUUCACCAACAAUAAUGUAGCUUAUUAGUAUGGUGUUACAUAAAACCCUAAAGAUAAAA
Xiphophorus couchianus (Monterrey platyfish) is the source of this 613-nucleotide long non-coding RNA. RefSeq lists it as uncharacterized. The transcript has 4 exons. NCBI's taxonomy places the organism in Eukaryota, Metazoa, Chordata, Actinopteri, Cyprinodontiformes, Poeciliidae. The record is from RefSeq and is a predicted model, not a curated record.